UAAAUUGAAGCCAAAUGUCAAGGUGCUUAGCUGAUAACUAACAAUUAGGGGGAUAAAUACCCUCAGUUUAG
Molecule: transfer RNA, 71 nt
Filed under: Sarcophilus harrisii (Tasmanian devil)
Lineage: Eukaryota; Metazoa; Chordata; Mammalia; Dasyuromorphia; Dasyuridae
Rfam family: tRNA
About the family: Transfer RNA (tRNA) molecules are approximately 80 nucleotides in length.
Source: Rfam by way of RNAcentral